Molecule: ribosomal RNA, 276 nt
Filed under: uncultured bacterium
Lineage: Bacteria
Description: partial 16S ribosomal RNA
Source: RNAcentral
CUGCUGCCUUCCGUAGGAGUCUGGUCCGUGUCUCAGUACCAGUGUGGGGGACCUUCCUCUCAGAACCCCUACGCAUCGUCGCCUUGGUGGGCCGUUACCCCGCCAACUAGCUAAUGCGACGCAUGACCAUCCGUAGCCGGAAUCGCUUCCUUUAAACCCGAGGAGAUGCCUCCUCGGGUUGUUACGCGGUAUUAGACGGAAUUUCUUCCGCUUAUCCCCCUGCUACGGGCAGGUUUCAUACGUGUUACUCACCCGUGCGCCGGUCGCCGGCGGGAA